CCUACGGGCGGCAGCAGUGAGGAAUAUUGGUCAAUGGACGAGAGUCUGAACCAGCCAAGUAGCGUGAAGGAUGACUGCCCUAUGGGUUGUAAACUUCUUUUAUAAAGGAAUAAAACGAGGCACGUGUGCCUUUUUGCAUGUACUUUAUGAAUAAGGAUCGGCUAACUCCGUGCCAGCAGCCGCGGUAAUACGGAGGAUCCGAGCGUUAUACGGAUUUGUUGGGUUUAAAGGGAGCGUAGAUGGGUUGUUAAGUCAGUUGUGAAAGUUUGCGGCUCAACCGUAAAAUUGCAAUUGAUACUGGCAGUCUUGAGUACAGUUGAGGUAAGCGGAAUUCGUGGUGUAGCGGUGAAAUGCUUAGAUAUCACGAAGAACCCCGAUUGCGAAGGCAGCUUACUAAACUGUGACUGACAUUGAUGCUCGAAAGUGUGGGUAUCAAACAGGAUUAGAGACCCGAGUAGUC
RNAcentral lists this ribosomal RNA (460 nucleotides) under uncultured bacterium. Its description in RNAcentral is "partial 16S ribosomal RNA". It matches the Rfam family "Bacterial small subunit ribosomal RNA", at positions 338 to 795 of the family's 1533-position model. The record is from RNAcentral.